CCUACGGGGGGCAGCAGUGAGGAAUAUUGGUCAAUGGGCGGAAGCCUGAUCCAGCCAAGUCGCGUGAGGGAAUAAGGCCCUACGGGUCGUAAACCUCUUUUGCCGGGGAGCAAGGGCCGGGACGCGUCCCGGCCCGGAGAGUACCCGGAGAAAAAGCAUCGGCUAACUCCGUGCCAGCAGCCGCGGUAAUGCGGAGGAUGCGAGCGUUAUCCGGAUUUAUUGGGUUUAAAGGGUGCGUAGGCGGGCUUUUAAGUCAGCGGUAAAAAUUCGGGGCUCAACCCCGUCCGGCCGUUGAAACUGGGGGG
This 305-nucleotide ribosomal RNA is filed under the name uncultured bacterium. RNAcentral describes it as "bacterial SSU rRNA". It matches the Rfam family "Bacterial small subunit ribosomal RNA", at positions 338 to 640 of the family's 1533-position model. The record is from RNAcentral.